UAUCGUUACAAACUCUCCGCAAACCGAGACCUCUAGGGAGUAUAAAUCACGUCUCUAAUACCUGACCUGGAGGGUAGGUCAGGAAUAUUCUACCUA
Molecule: non-coding RNA, 96 nt
Filed under: unclassified sequences
Description: PhotoRC-II RNA
Rfam family: PhotoRC-II RNA
Source: RNAcentral